Molecule: unclassified non-coding RNA, 403 nt
Filed under: Hevea brasiliensis (rubber tree)
Lineage: Eukaryota; Viridiplantae; Streptophyta; Magnoliopsida; Malpighiales; Euphorbiaceae
Source: RNAcentral
GGGCUUUAUCUAGUCUUAUCUGAUUACACAACAAAAUGAGGCUUAACCAACUAAGAGCAAUUUUUCACCAUUUGAAACUGUUAGUCCUGUGAUGGUGACUAUACAUAUGCUGAUAUUUUCUUUACUUAUUCUGUUAUAGAAUGGCUUUGAUGCUUCUGAUUUCAUUAAGAUAAUCCUUUCUGUUUGACUAAUUGUUAUGCAAUUGCAACUUGCAAGUGGUGGUCUAUCUGCCAUUGGCGCUAUAAAUUUGUAUGGAAGAUUCUACGCAACAUGUCCUAUGUAAUCAAGAGGGAAGAAACAGAGAUAUCACUGAGUUUUAAUGGUUGCUGCUUUCAUAUUUUCACAUCCUAACUUCUAAUGCACUAUUUUAGCUUUUCCAAUGAUACUUAUUAUACAACUUCAA